This 369-nucleotide ribosomal RNA is filed under the name uncultured bacterium. Its description in RNAcentral is "bacterial SSU rRNA". It matches the Rfam family "Bacterial small subunit ribosomal RNA", at positions 32 to 378 of the family's 1533-position model. The record is from RNAcentral.
AAUCAACGCUGGCGGCGUGCCUCAGACAUGCAAGUCGAACGCGAAAGUUCCCUUCGGGGAGCAAGUAGAGUGGCGCACGGGUGAGUAACACAUAGGUAAUUUGCCUUCGGGUGGGGAAUAACAGUCGGAAACGACUGCUAAUACCGCAUAAUGCAGCGGCUCGACAUCGAGACAGUUGUUAAAGCGGGGGAUCCUUCGGGACCUCGCGCCUGAAGAGAAGCCUGCGGCAGAUUAGCUAGUUGGUGAGGUAAUGGCCCACCAAGGCUACGAUCUGUAACCGGCCUGAGAGGGCGGUCGGUCACACUGACACUGACAUACGGGUCAGACUCCUACGGGAGGCAGCAGUCGGGAAUUUUGGGCAAUGGGCGC